UACGUAGGGUGCAAGCGUUGUCCGGAAUCAUUGGGCGUAAAGAGCGCGUAGGCGGUCCGAUAAGUCGGUUGUGAAAACUGGGGGCUCAACCCUCAGAGGCCGACCGAUACUGUCGGGCUAGAGUCCGGAAGAGGCGAGUGGAAUUCCUGGUGUAGCGGUGAAAUGCGCAGAUAUCAGGAGGAACACCAAUGGCGAAGGCAGCUCGCUGGGACGGUACUGACGCUGAGGCGCGAAAGCGUGGGGAGCAAACGGG
This 253-nucleotide ribosomal RNA is filed under the name uncultured bacterium. RNAcentral's name for it is "partial 16S ribosomal RNA". It matches the Rfam family "Bacterial small subunit ribosomal RNA", at positions 524 to 776 of the family's 1533-position model. The record is from RNAcentral.